This 1247-nucleotide long non-coding RNA is filed under the name Helianthus annuus (common sunflower). Its description in RNAcentral is "hypothetical non coding rna". Lineage: Eukaryota; Viridiplantae; Streptophyta; Magnoliopsida; Asterales; Asteraceae. The record is from RNAcentral.
CGACCACUACGACCACUACUACGACUACGACCACUACUACGACUACGACCACUACUACUACUACGACCACUACUACUACCACUACCACUACCACUACCACUACCACUACCACUACCACUACCACUACCACUACCACUACCACUACCACUACCACUACCACUACCACUACCACUACCACUACCACUACCACUACCACUACCACUACCACUACCACUACCACUACCACUACCACUACCACUACCACUACCACUACCACUACCACUACCACUACCACUACCACUACCACUACCACUACCACUACCACUACCACUACCACUACCACUACCACUACCACUACCACUACCACUACCACUACCACUACCACUACCACUACCACUACCACUACCACUACCACUACCACUACCACUACCACUACCACUACCACUACCACUACCACUACCACUACCACUACCACUACCACUACCACUACCACUACCACUACCACUACCACUACCACUACCACUACCACUACCACUACGACUACGACUACCACUACGACUACGACUACUACGACUACGACUACUACGACUACUACGACUACUACGACUACUACGACUACUACGACUACUACGACUACUACGACUACUACGACUACUACGACUACUACGACUACUACUACUACUACUACUACUACUACUACUACUACUACUACUACUACUACUACGACUACCACUACGACUACCACUACCACUACCACUACCACUACCACUACCACUACCACUACCACUACCACUACCACUACCACUACCACUACCACUACCACUACCACUACCACUACCACUACCACUACCACUACCACUACCACUACCACUACCACUACCACUACCACUACCACUACCACUACCACUACCACUACCACUACCACUACCACUACCACUACCACUACCACUACCACUACCACUACCACUACCACUACCACUACCACUACCACUACCACUACCACUACCACUACCACUACCACUACCACUACCACUACCACUACCACUACCACUACCACUACCACUACCACUACCACUACCACUACCACUACCACUACCACUACCACUACCACUACCACUACCACUACCACUACGACUACGACUACGACUACCACUACGACUACGACUACGACUACGACUACGACUACCACUACCACUACCACUACCACUACGACUACGACUACGACUACGACUACGACUACCACUACGACUACGACUACCACUACGACU